Molecule: long non-coding RNA, 803 nt
Filed under: Vitis vinifera (wine grape)
Lineage: Eukaryota; Viridiplantae; Streptophyta; Magnoliopsida; Vitales; Vitaceae
Description: long non-coding RNA (VVIN_LNC007410)
Source: RNAcentral
UUUGGUCUCCCACAUCAACCCACAGCUCCACGGUUGUGUGCCAACGAGUCUGGAUAACAUGGAAGAUGCUGAAUGAGAUAAUUAUGAUGGAUAAUUAGCUCCGAUCGUGCUUGUUUGUUGAGAUUCACCAUGCCCUUUUUAUUUAUUUAUUUUUAUUUACUUGUUUGAUUUCAUAUCACUAUCAUUUUAUUUUCUUAAUUUUCUUCUUUGUAUUGCUGAGUUGAUAUUUAAAUUUUUUAGACAUCUAAGGGGCGGGAGAAUUAGUUUGGUAAGGCCCUGUUUGGUCGGGAAAAGCGGGGAACCGUUUUGGAAGUUCAGCCUGGGUCACGUGAAAAGGAGAGGUUCGAGAGUCUUCGAAUGGGAGGUAUAAAAUCAGAAGAAGGUUCUCUGUUUAGGGUUGUUGGUCUUUUGGCGGUGAGAUUUUCGAUCCAAGUUCAGAGAGAAAAGUGAGAGAAAACAUAGAGAAGAGAGAGUUUGAGAGAACAAAGAGAAGUGAAGAUUGAGAGUUCCGGCAGAAGCUGUCGUGCCAUGGAGUUUCAGGCCAGCAAAUUUUCUUGAAUACUGCAUCUUCUUUUCAAGUUCCAAUUUUUCUAAGUUCCUCCAUGUAUUUAUGAAAAUCAAGCCUAUGAUCUACUGAUUUUAUUGUUCUUAUUUUUUUGGUUUAGAUUAGUUUACUUUAGAGUUUACGAUUGCAUUUCAUUCAUCCAUUCUUGAUCUGUAUUGGCUUUGGUGUUGUUGGAAUUUGAGAUUGGAUUUUCCGUAGGCUGUGUAUUUUAUAUCUUGAACUUUUGUGGAAUCCGAAG